AGUGGCGGACGGGUGAGUAAUACUUAGGGAUCUGCCUCUGUGUGGGGGAUAACUAUUGGAAACGAUAGCUAAUACCGCAUAAUGUCUACGGACCAAAGCGGGCUUCGGCUCGUGCGCAGAGAGGAACCUAAGCGAGAUUAGCUAGUUGGUGAGGUAAAGGCUCACCAAGGCGACGAUCUCUAGCUGUUCUGAGAGGAAGAUCAGCCACACUGGAACUGAGACACGGUCCAGACUCCUACGGGAGGCAGCAGUGGGGAAUAUUGCACAAUGGGGGAAACCCUGAUGCAGCCAUGCCGCGUGUGUGAAGAAGGCCUUCGGGUUGUAAAGCACUUUCAGUUGUGAGGAAAGUUUAGUAGUUAAUACCUGCUAGAUGUGACGUUAGCAACAGAAGAAGCACCGGCUAACUCCGUGCCAGCAGCCGCGGUAAUACGGAGGGUGCGAGCGUUAAUCGGAAUUACUGGGCGUAAAGCGCACGCAGGCGGUCUGUUAAGCUAGAUGUGAAAGCCCCGCGCUCAACGUGGGAGGGUCAUUUAGAACUGGCAGACUAGAGUCUUGGAGAGGGGAGUGGAAUUCCAGGUGUAGCGGUGAAAUGCGUAGAGAUCUGGAGGAACAUCAAUGGCGAAGGCAACUCCCUGGCCAAAGGCUGACGCUCAUGUGCGAAAGUGUGGGUAGCGAACAGGAUUAGAUACCCUGGUAGUCCGCACCGUANACGCUGUCUACUAGCUGUUUGUGAAUUUAAUUCGUGAGUAGCGAAGCUAACGCGAUAAGUAGACCGCCUGGGGAGUAC
Molecule: ribosomal RNA, 787 nt
Filed under: uncultured marine bacterium
Lineage: Bacteria
Description: bacterial SSU rRNA
Rfam family: Bacterial small subunit ribosomal RNA
Source: RNAcentral